Salmo salar (Atlantic salmon) is the source of this 5310-nucleotide long non-coding RNA. RefSeq lists it as uncharacterized. Lineage: Eukaryota; Metazoa; Chordata; Actinopteri; Salmoniformes; Salmonidae. The record is from RefSeq and is a predicted model, not a curated record.
GUGAACCCGUAUAUACGAAGAUUGCAUUUACCAUUUAUUCUGCUUGACUAAUUCUAUUAAUAAACAGCUGAAAAUAUAUUCAGUAGCCUAGUGUUACAUUUUGUUCUGAUACCAGAAUUGAAUUGACGCAGCCCUAACAGGUGAAAGUCGAAAACAUCAAUGCCGAGGGUGGAUUCGAGAGACUGUAUGUUACACCUGUCCUCUUUGCCUUGCGAUUCAACGUUAAAUUUGAAAAAUAACGUGGUACUUAACAACAUAAUUGAAAAGUACCACAGUAAACGUGCAAGCGGUGUCGACUGCACUGUCUGCAAAGGUGAGCAGAGGAUGUUCGCAGAAAAGAGUUGUCAGCUGCGAAGAGUCAUAUUGCACCGUCCACAUCAUACCACACUUAGAACGCUGUACUGCGCCAACACGUUCUGGUGAGCCCGAUGGGCGACACUGGCAGACUCUGCAAAGAGCACGGGAAGUUUACUGCGAGACAGACCAGACCCCCCUGUGUGCCUACUGCACGCUACCUGCCGAGGCCAAGCACACGGAUGGGCACAACGUCGUGAAACUGGAAGAUGCGCUGGAUACUUUAAGGGUGAGGUGGUGUCUCAUAUUUUCAUUUUGGUCACUUGUGCAUUCAUGGAAGAUACUUUGAGUUUGUGCUAUUUUUCAUCGUUUAAGUUAUAUGGUGAUUGGAAUCUAAACUUUCAUAGUAUUUCCACAUAGUAUUUCCACAACAACCGGCAACAGUUCUCUUUCAAUCACCCACGUGGGUAAAACCAAUGAGGAGAUGGCACGUGGUACUUCUAUAAACCAAUGAGGAGAUGGGAGAGGCAGGACUUGCAGCGUGAUCUGUGUCAGAAAUAGGAAUGACUUCUAUUUUAGCCCUUGGCAACGCAGACUCUCGUUGGAGCACGCGAUCAGUGUGGGUGCAAUAGCUGAGGCUGACGACGCCACUCGUGUCAUGUGCGUUGCAAAAUGAUUUUAGAAAUCUAUGUUAUUCAAUUAUUGCACUCACACUGCUCAAAGCAUCUGCAUAGCCAGGCUCUAAAAUAGAACUUGGUUCUAUUUGUGAUGCUUGACGCACUGCAAGUCCUGCCUCUCCAAUCUCCUCAUUGGGUGACUGAAAGAUGAACUGAGGUCCACACUCCAGUCCAGUUGGAGGUGGUAAUGAACCUUAAAGUUCUUUGCCAACUGCCAUAUGAAGUCCAAAAAAGAAGCGGUAGAGAUUACUAGAAACCACCUCGGUUUACCCUUUUAUCUGUGUAUUAAUUGUCGAAGUAGAAGACCUUGUGCAGUUCAAGUAAAAUAACAACCCAAUGUUCAUAUACCAGGACAAAUUAGCUUGCAAUAGCAAGGUAGCUAAAUUGCCAUAAUUGUUUGCUUUUUAACCUGUCCCCAAAUUAAUAUAGGUGGUUCUGAUUUUUCAACCUGCGUGUCUUGAUUGUGUCUGGUGUGUGUGGACAAAAUCAACGUGUGUGUGUGUGUGUGUGUGUGUGAGCGGUCUGGUCAGCAUGUUACUGUGCAUUAUUUUCAAUUGUGGUUUUGUCACAUCUUUUUUUUCUACCCGUAUCUCCUUUACAUACAAUUAUUAACUAUGCUCUUCCCUGAUGUUUUCCCAAACUUUACAAUGCCUCUGAUGCUUUUCACUCAUGUUGUGGUGCAAAUAUUUGUUUUACUCCUUCCCAUAUUCAAGUCAUUUACCAUGUUUUCCUUUUUAGCCUCAUGAACAUAACUUGGUUGCAGUUUGUAUCUGUGCUAGAAUUGUUAAAGUCCAUAAAAUAUAUCAGUAUUGUCGAUAUUGCAUAGGAAAAUAACAGAUAGGUAUUGGCCCAGAAUUUAUGAAUCCCUAACUUGAAAGUGUAAAAAAGACUAUGUACACUGAACAAAUAUAUAAAUGCAAAAACAGUUCAUAUGAGGAAAUCUGUCAAUUGACCUGUAUUAGGCCCUAAUCUAUGGAUUUCACAUGACGGAAUAGAUAUGCAUCUGUUGGUCACAGAUACCUUAAAUAAAAGGUAGGGGUGUGGAUCAGAAAACCAGUCCGUAUCUGGUGUGACCACCAUUUACCUCUUUUGCGUCGAGUUGACCAGGCUGUUGAUUGUGGCAUGUUGUCCCACUAAUUUUCAAUGGGUGAUGUGACAGGUGAGUAUGUCGGCCAUGGAAGAACAUGGACACAGCAUCCAGGAAUUCUGUACAGAUCCUUGCGACAUGGCGCUGUGCAUUAUCAUACGAUAAAAUGCAAUUGUGUUUGUUGGCCAUAGCUUAUGCUUGCCCAUAAUAACCCUACCACCAUGGGGCACUUUGUUCACAACGCUGACAUCAGCACGACACCAUAUAUGCUGUCAGUUGAAAUCGGGAUUCAUCCAUGAAGAGCACACUUCUCCAGCGUGCCAGUGGCCAUCGAAGGUGAGUGUUUGCCCACUGAAGUCGGUUACGACGCUGAACUGCAGUCAGGUCAAGACCCUGGUGAGUACAACAAGCAUGCAGAUGCGCUUCCCUGAGACUGUUUCUGACAGUUUGUGCAGAAAUGCUUCAGUUGUUCAGUUUCAUAAACUGGCUGGUCUCAGAUGAUCCCCUAGGUUAAGAAGCUGGAUGUGGGUGGCUGGUGUGGUUACAUGUGGUCUGUGGUUGAGGCCAUUUGGACGUACUGACGUUCUCUAAAAGAUAAUGUUGGACGUGGUUUUUGGUAGAGAAACAAACAUUAAAUUCUCUGGCAACGGCUCUGGUGGUCAUUCCUGCAGUCAGAAAGACCAUUGCACGCUCCCUCAACUUGAAACAUCUGUGGCAUUGUGUUAUGACAGAACUGCACAUUUGAUUGUCCUCAGUGCAAGGUGCACCUGUACUGAUCAGGCUGUUGAAUCCGCUUCAUAUGCCACACCUGUCAGGUGUAUGGAUUACCUUGGCAAAGGAGAAAUGCUUACUAAGAGGGAUGUGAACCAAUUGUUUACAAUCUUUGCGAAAUAAGCUUUUUUUGCAUAUGGAACAUUUCUGUGACCUUUUUAUUUCCGCUCAUGAAACAUGGGAACGGCAAUUUAGUUUUAUUUUUUAACUGCUCGCAAAUUGCUUUUGGUGAACAAAUCAGUCUGAAAAUGUUUCAAUCUGUGCUGUACUCUGUUGAACUUUUGAAAUCCUGACAUAGCCCUCGAGUCAAGAUUAUUGCUCACCCUUGUUCUGUGGCAACGCAAAUACCUUUUUAGUAGUGAGGGGCAUUUGAAUGAUUCUUCUUUCACCUAGUAGAGCUGGUUCCGAACAGCUUUGUUCAGUAGCCAUGAUUGUUAAAUAGACAUGGGCGGGGGCCUAAGACUGGCUUCUGCCUGGGGCCUCCGCCUGGGGCCUCCAAGUCAAUAACUCCGCCCCGGUGUGAAUGCAGCAUUUGUCUGGUUUAACCAGGCUACACUUCUGACGGGCACCCAUUUUCAUAACAGGCCAGUCUGGAGAGGCAGCAAAGUGAGUGCACAGCCUUCCUGUGCAGAAUCAAGCUGUUCCUGGAGUUUGAGGAGCAGGCGUGGCAGAAGAGAUUCUCUGUGGACAUGGUGCAGGAAAGGGAAGCAGCGGACAGGGGAGCUGAUGAGGCUGCAGGACAGGCUGACAGGCACAGAACACCCUGCUGAAGACUCAGACCAUCAGAGACCCCCUGGUGCUGCUCCAGGUAGAGCAAAAGCAUGAUUAGGGCAUAAUAAAAAAUGUAUAUUAAAAGAAAGACUGAACGCUGACGUGAAACAAUGGUGAGCACAGCAUUGUCUGGUUUGUCCAGGCUAGGAGUGUACUGGGACGUAAGUCUAAAUGAGAGUUGAAAUUCGGCACCACAAAAAACAAAAACAGAAGGCAGCGCACCCAGUGCCGCUUAUGCUAAUAAUCAAUUCAUUAAGCGUAUGGCUACGUUUCAUAAUGAUUUAUUUUAACUGUUCGAUUUCAUUUCAUUAAACGGCUCUUGAAGAAUGAGUGGUAAGUUUAAAUUAUUUUUAUGACUGCAUUAUAGCUGAAGACACCACCCACAAUUCCCUCAAAGUAGAAUAAUUAAAUGUCAUGCCUUUUUCUUUUUUUAAAUGACCCAGCACCACAGUAUUUAUUUGACACAUUUCUUUACAAGUAUGUAAAUAAUUGCUGCAAGAGACUGUACAUAUGCUACACAUUAUGUUCAUCUCGCUAAAUUCUGAACUUCAGUGAUCUUAAAUUUCCCCGUUGCAGGGCAGACCUGCUUCAAAGGGACGUUUGUUCCCGUCAGAUGAAGAUCAGUAAUUGGAGUGGAACCAAACUUGUGGCUUCAUCUAGAAUCACCCCCCCUAUUCCAGACUCUCCAGAAAACAUUUCAAGGAGAUGUCAUUUUCUUUGCUGAAUUAAGUGCCCACCCCAAACUGAAGUUGGACUCUGGCUCUGUGUGGGUGACUGAGGAGGACCAGCGACAUGAGGAACCAUGUUACCUGGAUCGGCCUUACUGUGUGAUGGGAGUCAUUAUCUCCUCCAAGGGUGUGCACAAUUGGGAGGUGGGAGUAGAGGGGCUCUUCUCUUGGGCCCUCGGUGUAGCCUUCCUUGGCCCAUACCAGAUAGCGGUGACCUGCAAGCUCGGCACUGAUGACCAGUCUUGGAGUCUGAGUUAGAGCAAGCAGCAGUUCUCUGCCCAGCAUGACUGGCUGGCAUUUACGUUCCAUGCACCGGACUCCAACCCACCCAGACGGAGCGGGGUCUUUCUGGGUGUGGACAGUGGAAUCCUGAGCUUCUACGAUGCAGUGAGGAUGGUGUGUCUCUACACUUUCUAAUGUACGCUGGAUCAGGACUCAGCCAGCCAAACUUACCUCAGACCAGCCUUCUGCCCUAGGCUGAAGGAGGACGACCAGCCACUGUCGACUAGGCCGAUGAGGGUGCUGCGACCAGUCUCAAACUUUUAGGCACUACAACCAACGGCAUCCUUCACACUAAUAGUUGCACUAGCAGCUAGCUAACAUACUUUUCUUCUUGUUCCAAAUGCUUGGUUUGAACCACUCACCAUUGAUUGUUUGAAAUGAAGUAAAUAUGGAGAAUCUGUUUUUGUAAAGCCGCUCAAACUGUUACACAGCUUAAAAUGACGCUACAGUUUGGCAAAAUCCCAAAAUGUAGUAAGUUGUCUGAGCCUUUGAAUGUCGUAAGUGAACUAAUUAGAUAAAUAUAUGCAGUGUGCAUAGCAUCUGAGCAUCAGCAAUGUAUUGUGCCUUUUCCUACAUGUUUCCUACCAGAAUAGACUACCAAAUCUACAAAUGCUUAUUGACAAGUGUUUAGUUUACAUUUUUUGUGGUCCUCUGUUGGAUUGUUCCUCUAACACGGCAUUAAAAUACCUUGGUCCUAUUA